This is a long non-coding RNA of Oncorhynchus keta (chum salmon), 8412 nucleotides long. RefSeq lists it as uncharacterized. NCBI's taxonomy places the organism in Eukaryota, Metazoa, Chordata, Actinopteri, Salmoniformes, Salmonidae. The record is from RefSeq and is a predicted model, not a curated record. The transcript has 6 exons.
UAAUCGGGAAAAAUACCCAAUUGUGAUGUUUAUGGGACAUAUAGGAGUGCCAACAGAGAAGCUCGUCAAAGGUAAUUAAUGUUUUAUAAUUUAUUUCUGCCUUUUGUGUAGCGCCGGCUACCGCAAAAUCUGUUGUUUAGGUGACUUCUGGUAUUUUGUGGGGUGCAUGCUAUCAGAUAAUAGCUUCUCAUGCUUUCGCCGAAAAGCAUUUUACAAAUCUGACUUGGUGGCUAGAUUCACAACGAGUGUAGCUUUAAUUCAGUACCUUGCAUGUGUGUUUUAAUGAAAGUUUGAGUUUUAUCGAAAACUAUAGGUGGCGCUCUGAAAUUUCCACUGAUUGAUGUUCCUGCACUGGGAUUACAUUCUGCGUCAUCCCUAACAGAAAAGGUAAGGGCGUGAAUCAGAAAACCAAUCAGGAUCUGGUGUAACCGCCUCAUGCAGUGCGACACAUCUCCUUCACAUAGAGUUGAUCAGGCUGUUGAUUGUGGCCUGUGGAAUGUUGUCCCACUCAUCUUCAAUGGCUGUGCGAAGUUGCUGGAAAUUGUUGGGAACUGGAACAUGCCAUCAAUCCAGAGCAUCCCAAACAUGCUCAAUGGUGCGGCAGGUAGCCCAGUGGUUAGAGUGUUGGACUAGUAACCGAAAGGUUGCAAGAUCAAAUCCCAGAGCUGACAAAGUAAAAAUCUGUCAUUCUGCCCCUGCACAAGGCAGUUAACCCAGUGUUCCUAGGCUGUCAUUGAAAGUAAGAAUCUGUCCUUAACUGACAAUCCAUAGUUAAAUAAAGGUGGCAUUUUUUGUUGUUGAAAAAAUUGUGAUAUAUCUGGUGAGUAUGCAAAAAAUAUCCCAAUGCCCCAUUGCAGCGAUUGGGGACAUUGGCCUGUGUACGGUGUCGUCUUUUGAAUAGGAUGUUAAACGGGUGUCCUGACUCUGUGGUCACUAAAGAUACCAUUGCACUUAACCCCAGUGUUCUGGGGGUGUCCUCGGAUGGGGCCACAGUGUCUCCUGUCCCCUCCUGUCUCAGCCUCCAGUAUUUGUGCUCCAGUAGUUUGUGUCGGGGGGCUAGGGUCAGUUUGUUAUAUCUGGAGUACUUCUCCUGUCCUAUUCGGUGUCCUGUGUGAAUCUAAGUGUGCGUUCUCUAAUUCUCUCCUUCUUUCUUUCUCUCUCUCAGAGGACCUGAGCCCUAGGACCAUGCCCCAGGACUACCUGACAUGAUGACUCCUUGCUGUCCCCAGUCCACCUGGCCAUGCUGCUGCUCCAGUUUCAACUGACCUGAGCCCUAGGACCAUGCCCCAGGACUACCUGACAUGAUGACUCCUUGCUGUCCCCGGUCCACCUGACUGUGCUGCUGCUCCAGUUUAAACUGUUCUGCCUUGUUAUUAUUCGACCAUGCUGGUCAUUUAUGAACAUUUGAACAUCUUGGCCAUGUUCUGUUAUAAUCUCCACCCGGCACAGCAAGAAGAGGACGGGCCACCCCACAUAUGCUCUCUCUAAUUCUCUCUUUCUUUCUCUCUCUCGGAGGACCUGAGCCCUAGGACCGUGCCCCAGGACUACCUGACAUGAUGACUCCUUGCUGUCCCCGGUCCACCUGACUGUGCUGCUGCUCCAGUUUAAACUGUUCUGCCUUGUUAUUAUUCGACCAUGCUGGUCAUUUAUGAACAUUUGAACAUCUUGGCCAUGUUCUGUUAUAAUCUCCACCCGGCACAGCCAGAAGAGGACUGGCCACCCCACAUAGCCUGGUUCCUCUCUAGGUUUCUUCCUAGGUUUUGGCCUUUCUAGGGAGUUUUUCCUAGCCACCGUGCUUCUGCACCUUCAUUGCUUGCUAUUUGGGGUUUUAGGCUGGGUUUCUGUACAGCACUUUGAGAUAUCAGCUGAUGUACGAAGGGCUAUAUAAAUAAAUUUGAUUUGAUUUGAUUUGAUUCUGGCUAAAUUCCCAAUCUGGCCCGCAUACCAUCAUGGUCACAGUUUACAAUUGGCUAAUUCAUCCCCCCUCCUCUCCCCGGUAUCAAUUCCACAGGUCGUUUCUGUAAAUGAGAAUGUGUUCUCAGUCAUCUUCCCGGGUUAAAUAAAAUACAAAUUUUCCAUAAAUUAUAUCAGGCAUAAGAUGGAAUUCAAUCGAAACGGCAUUGUAGGUAAAUCUUCACUGUCUGGGGAUAAAUAACGUAAAGAUGUAUGAGACAAGGUCUUUCGAACAGUCUGACAACUGAGAUCAAACAGUCUGACAACUGACAACUGACAACUGAGGUCUAACAGUCUGACAACUGACAACUGAGGUCUAACAGUCUGGCAACUGACAACUGACAACUGAGGUCUAACAGUCUGACAACUGACAACUGAGGUCUAACAGUCUGGCAACUGACAACUGAGGUCUAACAGUCUGGCAACUGACAACUGAGGUCUAACAGUCUGACAACUGACAACUGAGGUCUAACAGUCUGACAACUGACAACUGAGGUCUAACAGUCUGACAACUGACAACUGAGGUCUAACAGUCUGGCAACUGACAACUGAGGUCUAACAGUCUGGCAACUGACAACUGAGGUCUAACAGUCUGACAACUGACAACUAACAGUCUGACAACUGACAACUGAGGUCGAACAGUCUGACAACUGACAACUGAGAUCUAACAGUCUGACAACUGACAACUGAGGUCUAACAGUCUGACAACUGACAACUAACAGUCUGACAACUGAAAACUGAGAUCUAACAGUCUGGCAACUGAGGUCUAACAGUCUGACAACUGAGGUCUAACAGUGACAACUGAAAACUGAGAUCUAACAGUCUGACAACUGAGGUCUAACAGUCUGACAACUGAAAACUGAGGUCUAACAGUCUGACAACUGAGGUCUAACAGUCUGACAACUGAAAACUGAGGUCUAACAGUCUGACAACUGACAACUGAGGUCUAACAGUGACAACUGACAACUGAGAUCUAACAGUCUGACAACUGACAACUGAAAACUGAGGUCUAACAGUCUGACAACUGACAACUGAGGUCUAACAGUCUGACAACUGACAACUGAGGUCUAACAGUCUGGCAACUGACAACUGAGAUCUAACAGUCUGACAACUGACAACUGAGGUCUAACAGUCUGACAACUGACAACUGAGAUCUAACAGUCUGACAACUGACAACUGAGGUCUAACAGUCUGACAACUGACAACUAACAGUCUGACAACUGAAAACUGAGAUCUGACAACUGAGGUCUAAUAGUGACAACUGACAACUGAUAUCUAACAGUCUGACAACUGAGGUCUAACAGUCUGACAACUGAGAUCUAACAGUCUGACAACUGACAAUUGAGAUCUAACAGUCUAACAACUGAGGUCUAACAGUCUGACAACUGAGGUCUAACAGUCUGACAACUGACAACUGAGGUCUAACAGUCUGACAACUGACAACUGACAACUGAGGUCUAACAGUUUGACAACUGACAACUGAGGUCUAACAGUCUGACAACUGACAACUGACAACUGAGGUCUAACAGUCUGACAUUUACAUUUACAUUUAAGUCAUUUAGCAGACGCUCUUAUCCAGAGCGACUUACAAUUCUAAAUUCCAUGCAUGACUUAUUCAAUUGGAAUUCAUCAGAUACUGUAUGUAAUAUAAAUCCAUCAAUGUUUUUCUUCUUCUUUUAUUAGGUAUGCACAGACCCCCAAAACUCAAAUGGAUUGAUUGCCUUUCAAUCUCAACACAGCUGGUGUUUCAUCUCUCUUGCCAUCUGACAUAGAGCACAGGGCCCACAGAACAUGUACACUGCCCAGUCAUCAAUUAAGCUGCCCGGGAUGUUGUAUCUCUCUCUCAUUGAUGUGCGCAUCAUCAUCAUAGUUGUUAGCAGCAGGGGGAGACAGAAGCAUUCACCAUACCUCUCAGCCAUCUGACAGGCUAGGCACAUUGAACAGAAGGUACCACACAAACAGACUCUCCUAUCAAUGCAACAGUCCAGAAUCCUUGAGUUCCACUUUGCCGGAGUAUUGGGUUGACUCAUUACUGCUCUAUCACAUACUCCAUAUCCAGAUUUGCAGGCUUUUUUUUCUCCAUUUGAAAUCACUCCAUUUGACAACCUCAUCCAGCGAAGUUGAUAGGCAACGCCAGUGUCAGUGAGCUGUUAUUAGAACGGUCACAACGGUGACAGCUGACAACUGAGGUCUAACAGUCUGGCAACUGACAACUGAGAUCUAACAGUCGGACAACUGAGGUCUAACAGUCUGACAACUGAGGUCUAACAGUCUGACAACUGACAACUGAGAUCUAACAGUCUGACAACUGAGGUCUAACAGUCUGACAACUGACAACUGACAACUGAGGUCUAACAGUUUGACAACUGACAACUGAGGUCUAACAGUCUGACAACUGACAACUGAGGUCUAACAGUCUGACAGCUGACAACUGAGGUCUAACAGUCUGGCAACUGACAACUGAGAUCUAACAGUCGGACAACUGAGGUCUAACAGUCUGACAACUGAGGUCUAACAGUCUGACAACUGACAACUGAGAUCUAACAGUCUGACAACUGAGGUCUAACAGUCUGACAACUGAGAUCUAACAGUCUGACAACUGAGGUCUAACAGUCUGACAACUGAGAUCUAACAGUCUGACAACUGAGAUCUAACAGCCUGACGUCUGACAACUGAGGUCUAACAGUCUGACAACUGACAACUGAGAUCUAACAGUCUGACAACUGAGGUCUAACAGCCUGACGUCUGACAACUGAGGUCUAACAGUCUGACAACUGACAACUGAGAUCUAACAGUCUGACAACUGAGGUCUAACAGUCUGACAACUGACAACUGAGAUCUAACAGUCUGACAACUGAGGUCUAACAGUCUGACAACUGACAACUGAGAUCUAACAGUCUGACAACUGACAAUUGAGAUCUAACAGUCUGACAACUGAGAUCUAACAGUCUGACAACUGAGGUCUAACAGUCUGGCAACUGACAACUGAGGUCUAACAGUCUGACAACUGACAACUGAGGUCUAACAGUCUGACAACUGACAACUGAGGUCUAACAGUCUGACAACUGACAACUGAGGUCUAACAGUCUGGCAACUGACAACUGAGGUCUAACAGUCUGGCAACUGACAACUGAGGUCUAACAGUCUGACAACUGACAACUGAGGUCUAACAGUCUGACAACUGACAACUGAGGUCUAACAGUCUGACAACUGACAACUGAGGUCUAACAGUCUGGCAACUGACAACUGAGGUCUAACAGUCUGGCAACUGACAACUGAGGUCUAACAGUCUGACAACUGACAACUAACAGUCUGACAACUGACAACUGAGGUCGAACAGUCUGACAACUGACAACUGAGAUCUAACAGUCUGACAACUGACAACUGAGGUCUAACAGUCUGACAACUGACAACUAACAGUCUGACAACUGAAAACUGAGAUCUAACAGUCUGACAACUGAGGUCUAACAGUCUGACAACUGACAACUGAGAUCUAACAGUCUGACAACUGAGGUCUAACAGUCUGACAACUGACAUCUAACAGUCUGACAACUGACAAUUGAGAUCUAACAGUCUGACAACUGAGAUCUAACAGUCUGACAACUGAGGUCUAACAGUCUGACAACUGACAACUGAGAUCUAACAGUCUGACAACUGAGGUCUAACAGUCUGACAACUGAGAUCUAACAGUCUGACAACUGAGGUCUAACAGUCUGACAACUGAGAUCUAACAGUCUGACAACUGAGAUCUAACAGUCUGACAACUGAGAUCUAACAGUCUGACAACUGAGGUCUAACAGUCUGACAACUGACAACUGAGAUCUAACAGUCUGACAACUGAGGUCUAACAGUCUGACAACUGACAACUGAGAUCUAACAGUCUGACAACUGAGGUCUAACAGUCUGACAACUGAGAUCUAACAGUCUGACAACUGAGGUCUAACAGUCUGACAACUGAGAUCUAACAGUCUGACAACUGAGAUCUAACAGUCUGACAACUGAGAUCUAACAGUCUGACAACUGAGGUCUAACAGUCUGACAACUGACAACCAAGGGACAAAAAACUAAAGCCAGUCUCAUCUUAAUAUUGGCCCUUGAGCCAAUCAGCAAACCACAGUGGUGUAACAUUACAGAGGUGACCCUUUAAGGCAUCCUAUUGGUGUAACAUUACAGAGGUGACCCUUUAAGGCAUCCUAUUGGUGUAACAUUACAGAGGUGACCCUUUAAGGCAUCCUAUUGGUGUAACAUUACAGAGGGGACCCUUUAAGGCAUCCUAUUGGUGUAACAUUACAGAGGUGACACUUUAAGGCAUCCUAUUGGUGUAACAUUACAGAGGGGACCCUUUAAGGCAUCCUAUUGGUGUAACAUUACAGAGGUGACCCUUUAAGGCAUCCUAUUGGUGUAACAUUACAGAGGUGACCCUUUAAGGCAUCCUAUUGGUGUAACAUUACAGAGGUGACCCUUUAAGGCAUCCUAUUGGUGUAACAUUACAGAGGUGACCCUUUAAGGCAUCCUAUUGGUGUAACAUUACAGAGGUGACACUUUAAGGCAUCCUAUUGGUGUAACAUUACAGAGGUGACCCUUUAAGGCAUCCUAUUGGUGUAACAUUACAGAGGUGACACUUUAAGGCAUCCUAUUGGUGUAACAUUACAGAGGUGACCCUUUAAGGCAUCCUAUUGGUGUAACAUUACAGAGGUGACCCUUUAAGGCAUCCUAUUGGUGUAACAUUACAGAGGUGACCCUUUAAGGCAUCCUAUUGGUGUAACAUUACAGAGGUGACCCUUUAAGGCAUCCUAUUGGUGUAACAUUACAGAGGUGACCCUUUAAGGCAUCCUAUUGGUGUAACAUUACAGAGGUGACCCUUUAAGGCAUCCUAUUGGUGUAACAUUACAGAGGGGACCCUUUAAGGCAUCCUAUUGGUGUAACAUUACAGAGGUGACCCUUUAAGGCAUCCUAUUGGUGUAACAUUACAGAGGUGACACUUUAAGGCAUCCUAUUGGUGUAACAUUACAGAGGUGACCCUUUAAGGCAUCCUAUUGGUGUAACAUUACAGAGGGGACCCUUUAAGGCAUCCUAUUGGUGUAACAUUACAGAGGUGACCCUUUAAGGCAUCCUAUUGGUGUAACAUUACAGAGGUGACCCUUUAAGGCAUCCUAUUGGUGUAACAUUACAGAGGUGACCCUUUAAGGCAUCCUAUUGGUGUAACAUUACAGAGGGGACCCUUUAAGGCAUCCUAUUGGUGUAACAUUACAGAGGUGACACUUUAAGGCAUCCUAUUGGUGUAACAUUACAGAGGGGACCCUUUAAGGCAUCCUAUUGGUGUAACAUUACAGAGGUGACCCUUUAAGGCAUCCUAUUGGUGUAACAUUACAGAGGUGACCCUUUAAGGCAUCCUAUUGGUGUAACAUUACAGAGUUGACACUUUAAGGCAUCCUAUUGGUGUAACAUUACAGAGGGGACCCUUUAAGGCAUCCUAUUGGUGUAACAUUACAGAGGGGACCCUUUAAGGCAUCCUAUUGGUGUAACAUUACAGAGGGGACCCUUUAAGGCAUCCUAUUGGUGUAACAUUACAGAGGUGACCCUUUAAGGCAUCCUAUUGGUGUAACAUUACAGAGGUGACCCUUUAAGGCAUCCUAUUGGUGUAACAUUACAGAGGGGACCCUUUAAGGCAUCCUAUUGGUGUAACAUUACAGAGGGGACCCUUUAAGGCAUCCUAUUGGUGUAACAUUACAGAGGUGACCCUUUAAGGCAUCCUAUUGGUGUAACAUUACAGAGGUGACCCUUUAAGGCAUCCUAUUGGUGUAACAUUACAGAGGUGACCCUUUAAGGCAUCCUAUUGGUGUAACAUUACAGAGGUGACCCUUUAAGGCAUCCUAUUGGUGUAACAUUACAGAGGUGACACUUUAAGGCAUCCUAUUUCCUGGAUCUCAAUAGAACCAAUGUAGUCCUCAUCACUGUGUGGGACAUCUACUACGUCAAACUUGAUCAAAUCAGUUUCAGCCUAAAUCUGAUUGGUGAUGAGUGCUAGAAGGUUAAUAAGCACGAGAACAUGGUCUAGCUCUGGCGUCAACGUCUAGCUAGCUACGACGGUGCGGGACAGUACUAUCAACAAGGAUCAGUGGGAUAACGACUAGAAUAAUAAUAAAAACAGCAUACAAUGAAGAGGCCCGGGGUCAGGCUUCUCUUCACCUUGGGAAAAGUCCAGAUAAAAGCCCAGCUAGGGAUUAUGUAGCUAUGUAGAGGUUAAGUCCCUUGCUCAAGGGCACAACAGCAGUAAUUCCUAAGUUAAUAUCAGAUAAAUCAUUUACUAUAGUAUUUACUCUAUUCAACAAAAGCGUGCCAUGAUGAUCAGACUGCUCUCGUACACGUUUGUUUAACCUUCCUGGAAUACACUCUUGCUAAGAGAAGCUAAGAGCAACUGUUAAAUGACUAAAAUGUCAAUAUAAAGUCAAAAAGCUC